This 907-nucleotide ribosomal RNA is filed under the name Aerococcus sp. Its description in RNAcentral is "bacterial SSU rRNA". It matches the Rfam family "Bacterial small subunit ribosomal RNA", at positions 52 to 941 of the family's 1533-position model. Lineage: Bacteria; Bacillati; Bacillota; Bacilli; Lactobacillales; Aerococcaceae. The record is from RNAcentral.
UACUAGCAGUCGAGCGAACAGAUGAAGUGCUUGCACUUCUGACGUUAGCGGCGAACGGGUGAGUAACACGUAAGGAAUCUACCUAUAAGCGGGGGAUAACAUUCGGAAACGGGUGCUAAUACCGCAUAAUAUCUUCUUCCGCAUGGAAGAAGAUUGAAAGACGGCUCUGCUGUCACUUAUAGAUGACCUUGCGGUGCAUUAGUUAGUUGGUGGGGUAACGGCCUACCAAGACGAUGAUGCAUAGCCGACCUGAGAGGGUGAUCGGCCACAUUGGGACUGAGACACGGCCCAAACUCCUACGGGAGGCAGCAGUAGGGAAUCUUCCGCAAUGGGCGAAAGCCUGACGGAGCAAUGCCGCGUGAGUGAAGAAGGCCUUCGGGUCGUAAAACUCUGUUAUAAGAGAAGAACAAAUUGUAGAGUAACUGCUACAGUCUUGACGGUAUCUUAUCAGAAAGCCACGGCUAACUACGUGCCAGCAGCCGCGGUAAUACGUAGGUGGCAAGCGUUGUCCGGAUUUAUUGGGCGUAAAGGGAGCGCAGGUGGUUUCUUAAGUCUGAUGUGAAAGCCCACGGCUUAACCGUGGAGGGUCAUUGGAAACUGGGAAACUUGAGUACAGAAGAGGAAUGUGGAACUCCAUGUGUAGCGGUGGAAUGCGUAGAUAUAUGGAAGAACACCAGUGGCGAAGGCGACAUUCUGGUCUGUUACUGACACUGAGGCUCGAAAGCGUGGGGAGCAAACAGGAUUAGAUACCCUGGUAGUCCACGCCGUAAACGAUGAGUGCUAGGUGUUGGAGGGUUUCCGCCCUUCAGUGCCGCAGUUAACGCAUUAAGCACUCCGCCUGGGGAGUACGACCGCAAGGUUGAAACUCAAAGGAAUUGACGGGGACCCGCACAAGCGGUGGAGCAUG